This 253-nucleotide ribosomal RNA is filed under the name uncultured bacterium. RNAcentral's name for it is "partial 16S ribosomal RNA". It matches the Rfam family "Bacterial small subunit ribosomal RNA", at positions 524 to 776 of the family's 1533-position model. The record is from RNAcentral.
UACGUAGGGGGCAAGCGUUGCUCGGAAUCACUAGGCGUAAAGCGCGCGUAGGCGGACUCUUAAGUCUGUGGUGAAAUCCUGGAGCUCAACUCCAGAACUGCCUUCGAUACUGGGAGUCUUGAGUCCGGGAGAGGUGAGUGGAACUGCGAGUGUAGAGGUGAAAUUCGUAGAUAUUCGCAAGAACACCAGUGGCGAAGGCGGCGCGCUGGCCCGGUACUGACGCUGAUGCGCGAAAGCUAGGGGAGCAAACGGG